RNAcentral lists this ribosomal RNA (493 nucleotides) under uncultured bacterium. Its description in RNAcentral is "bacterial SSU rRNA". It matches the Rfam family "Bacterial small subunit ribosomal RNA", at positions 791 to 1271 of the family's 1533-position model. The record is from RNAcentral.
UAGUCCUAGCCGUAAACGAUGGGCACUAGGUGUCGGGACCCUUGAGGUUUCGGUGCCGCAGCUAAUGCGUUAAGUGCCCCACCUGAGGAGUACGGUCGCAAGAUUGAAACUCAAAGGAAUUGACGGGGGCCAGCACAAGCGGUGGAACAUGUGGUUUAAUUCGAUGCUACUCGAAGAACCUUACCCAGGCUUGACAUGUAGGAAGUACGAACCCGAAAAGGUUAGGACUCGUAACCAAUCGAGAACCUUCACAGGAGCUGCAUGGCUGUCGUCAGCUCGUGCCGUGAGGUGUUGGCUUAAGUGCCAAAACGAGCGCAACCAUUGCUACUAGUUGCCAGCGGAUCUUCGGAUGCCGGGGACUCUAGUGGGACUGCCAGCGAUGAGCUGGAGGAAGGUGGUGAUGACGUCAAGUCAGUAUGGCCUUUAUGCCUGGGGCAACACACGUGUUACAAUGGGGUGCACAAUGCGCAGCGAACUCGCGAGAGCAAGCAAA